UCUGGCUCUCAGUCCCCGCCUCACGGGGGGUGCCUCCCACCUCUGCCAUGGGGGUCCUAAGAGCCAGUGGGGGAACCAGGGGCUGGCUCUCAGUCCCUGCCUCGUGGAGAGUGCCUCCCCCCCCUUGCGAUGGGGGUACCAACAGCCAGGGGCGGAAGAGGGGAUAGCUCUCAGUCCCCACCCUCGCGGGCGGUGCCUCCCCCUCGUGCGAUGGGGGUCCUAAGAUCCAGGGGGGGAAGAGGGACUGGCUCUCAGUCCCUGACUCGCGGGGGGUGCCUCCCCCGUUGCGAUGGGGGUAGUAACAGCCAGGGGCGGAAGAGGGGAUAGCUCUCAGUCCCCACUCUCGUGGGGGGUGCCUCCCCCUCCUGCGAUGGGGGUCCGCAGAGCCGGGGGGGAAGAGGGACUGGCUCUCAGUAAUCCCACGUAAGGUACCUGCCGUCGGAAGAUUUGAACUUUCUACUUGGACAACUAACACUCGCAGUCCUCCAGGUGGAGCUGCGUUCGGACCCGUCGGAUCGUAAAUCCCAUGUAAGGUAUCUGCCGUCGGAAGAUUUGAACUUUCUAAUUGGACACCUAACACCCACAGUCCUCCAGGUACCUGCCGUUGGAAGAUUUGAACUUUCUACUUGGACAACUAACACCCACAGUCCUCCAGGUGGGUCCUAAGGAUCUUAGGAUCAACGAUGCGGGGUCCUAAGCC
This 700-nucleotide long non-coding RNA is filed under the name Homo sapiens (human). Its description in RNAcentral is "HSALNT0130595". Lineage: Eukaryota; Metazoa; Chordata; Mammalia; Primates; Hominidae. The record is from RNAcentral.